UUAGGGUGAAAUCUAUUGAGGAUAUUUCAUUUACGAUGAAAAAGAGUUUGUGACCACUCUAAU
This 63-nucleotide transfer RNA is filed under the name Ornithodoros tholozani. RNAcentral describes it as "tRNA-Val". Lineage: Eukaryota; Metazoa; Arthropoda; Arachnida; Ixodida; Argasidae. The record is from RNAcentral.